Non-coding RNA from Podarcis lilfordi (Lilford's wall lizard), 76 nucleotides. The record is from the annotation of a GenBank genome assembly. Lineage: Eukaryota; Metazoa; Chordata; Lepidosauria; Squamata; Lacertidae.
GCUGGGAAGGGCCAUAGUUGAGUGGUAGAGCAUUUGCUUUUCAUACAGAAGGUCUCAAGUUCAAUCCUUGGCAGCU